Molecule: long non-coding RNA, 1387 nt
Organism: Patella vulgata (common limpet)
Lineage: Eukaryota; Metazoa; Mollusca; Gastropoda; Patellidae
Exons: 3
Source: RefSeq, a predicted model, not a curated record
AUUUUAAGUUGGAUAGGAGAGAAAUUUCGCGUAGCAGUUGGGUUUCAUCAAAUCAUAUACAUAUGCGACUUAUACACCGUAGGAGCAAAAAUCAAGUCUUCCGCAGAAUUUUCCAGAAUGACUGACUUCUCCAAGGAGUCACUUAUUGACGUAAACUGUCGAUAUAAGCCGGAUUAAAAGAGAUUAUGACAGUGAUACAAAAUCAAUCAACGAAAAAUUUCGACCAGAUCUCGACGGCGAAACCCAUCCCUGCACAAAACGUACAAUUCGUACCAUGGUAUGAUAAAGUGAUCAAUGAUGAUGUGGCAGACGAGUCAUCGUUAGGAACGAGUCAUAUAUGACUAAUAUCUAAUGAAGACCCCGCUGAUGUAUCUUGAAUGGUAAUUGUUAACAAGAAACAAGAACAUAAGAAGGACCUCUUUAUAUAUCCCAUCAUUGUAGUGGAAGGUGUGAGUAUCCGGAAGUUAUCAUUAAUACAAAAAAUAGACAGUUUGACGGAUGUCAUGAUACAGUAGUAAUAGAAAUUACCCCAAGUCGUGUCAUCAAUUUAUGUAGAAGGCGGGCUUACCUUGAAGAAACCAUCCAAUCAAUAAAUAGGUAAAUUGUCGAAUUUUAUGCCACAAUAUAAAUUCAGAAAUGAAAUCAGGUUUAACGUCCUUCCUUUCUGCACCGAUCGGGAUAAUGAAGACAGACUUAGGGAAAUUUGGCCCGAAUAGCUGUGCUGUAGUUUUUUCCCUUUCCAUCGAGCUCAAAAGUGCUGACAGUAGUAGCUUUAGACCGGGUUUCGUUUUUUGUCCUAUCUGAACGACAAGGUGCUUUUGUCAUAUCAGACCCUCUGGCAAGGGGAAACUGGGCAGGACCAUCACGAGGAACUCUAUCGGCCUACACCGCUUCAAACAAAAAUAUGGCAAUUUUUAUUCUAGAGUUACGAACGUGUGUAAUUUGAUGUUUUAAAAUUCGUUAAGAAUUGAUAUUAUAAGUAUCUAAAAUAUGAUUUAACAUCGUAAUUAGCAACCUGCUUUUUUCUACAAAUUGGCCUUGAAGAAUCUUCUGAACCAUCUUCAACUGUGAAAAUCCUUACAUGCCUUUAAACCCCAUUUCUUUUCUUUCAAUGGAACAAACACAAAAUAAAUAUUUAGCUUACCUUGUCAAUGUAGAAUCUGAGACUAGCUGCUUAGACGUGUAUUUGUCAGGCUAAAACCUCACCAUACAAAUUGUAUAGUAUACCCCCACUAUAAGUAAACAUUACCUAUAUCUAAUAGUAAAACCUGUGUAGUAUUGAGAAAUAUAGGCCAGUUUAUAUAAUUGUACUAUGACAAUGCAUGUCCCUUUCAUUUUUAGAUCAUACUAUACAUUCGAAGAAUCUCAGAUUUCUCACACUAGCCUU